UACGGGGGGGGCAAGCGUUGUCCGGAAUUAUUGGGCGUAAAGCGCGCGCAGGCGGUCCUUUAAGUCUGAUGUGAAAGCCCUCGGCUCAACCGAGGAGGGUCAUUGGAAACUGGAGGACUUGAGUGCAGAAGAGGAAAGUGGAAUUCCAAGUGUAGCGGUGAAAUGCGUAGAGAUUUGGAGGAACACCAGUGGCGAAGGCGACUUUCUGGUCUGUAACUGACGCUGAGGCGCGAAAGCGUGGGGAGCAAACAGG
Molecule: ribosomal RNA, 253 nt
Filed under: uncultured bacterium
Lineage: Bacteria
Description: partial 16S ribosomal RNA
Rfam family: Bacterial small subunit ribosomal RNA
Source: RNAcentral